ACUGCUGGUGCCCGGGGAGGGAUUCUGCACUUCUCCCCGUUUCACAGAUGAGAACAGUUGAGCAGAGGUCAGCAGCAGAGUCAGAACUCUUCUCCCAUCACCACAGUGGUCCUCAAGCUGGAGCCAGACAUCCAUCUACUCAGUGCCAUGUUGAGCCAACAACUGAGCCUGAGGACUAACUUCCCAAGUCUCAGUCCCUUCCUCACCUGUCGGGACACCUGUUCCCUGACUUGUCAUACCUGCGAGAUGUCACAGCUACUUUCCUUCCUCAUUUCCUCCACAGCCCACAAGAACACACAGCCAGGACCACUAGCUUCUCCACUU
This 324-nucleotide long non-coding RNA is filed under the name Mus pahari (shrew mouse). RNAcentral's name for it is "lncRNA (MGP_PahariEiJ_G0003759.1)". Lineage: Eukaryota; Metazoa; Chordata; Mammalia; Rodentia; Muridae. The record is from RNAcentral.